UAACACGUGGGUAACCUGCCCAUCAGAAGGGGAUAACACUUGGAAACAGGUGCUAAUACCGUAUAACAAUCGAAACCGCAUGGUUUUGAUUUGAAAGGCGCUUUCGGGUGUCGCUGAUGGAUGGACCCGCGGUGCAUUAGCUAGUUGGUGAGGUAACGGCUCACCAAGGCCACGAUGCAUAGCCGACCUGAGAGGGUGAUCGGCCACAUUGGGACUGAGACACGGCCCAAACUCCUACGGGAGGCAGCAGUAGGGAAUCUUCGGCAAUGGACGAAAGUCUGACCGAGCAACGCCGCGUGAGUGAAGAAGGUUUUCGGAUCGUAAAACUCUGUUGUUAGAGAAGAACAAGGAUGAGAGUAACUGUUCAUCCCUUGACGGUAUCUAACCAGAAAGCCACGGCUAACUACGUGCCAGCAGCCGCGGUAAUACGUAGGUGGCAAGCGUUGUCCGGAUUUAUUGGGCGUAAAGCGAGCGCAGGCGGUUUCUUAAGUCUGAUGUGAAAGCCCCCGGCUCAACCGGGGAGGGUCAUUGGAAACUGGGAGACUUGAGUGCAGAAGAGGAGAGUGGAAUUCCAUGUGUAGCGGUGAAAUGCGUAGAUAUAUGGAGGAACACCAGUGGCGAAGGCGGCUCUCUGGUCUGUAACUGACGCUGAGGCUCGAAAGCGUGGGGAGCAAACAGGAUUAGAUACCCUGGUAGUCCACGCCGUAAACGAUGAGUGCUAAGUGUUGGAGGGUUUCCGCCCUUCAGUGCUGCAGCUAACGCAUUAAGCACUCCGCCUGGGGAGUACGACCGCAAGGUUGAAACUCAAAGGAAUUGACGGGGGCCCGCACAAGCGGUGGAGCAUGUGGUUUAAUUCGAAGCAACGCGAAGAACCUUA
RNAcentral lists this ribosomal RNA (877 nucleotides) under Enterococcus faecium. RNAcentral's name for it is "bacterial SSU rRNA". It matches the Rfam family "Bacterial small subunit ribosomal RNA", at positions 111 to 973 of the family's 1533-position model. Lineage: Bacteria; Bacillati; Bacillota; Bacilli; Lactobacillales; Enterococcaceae. The record is from RNAcentral.